Rhinopithecus roxellana (golden snub-nosed monkey) is the source of this 857-nucleotide long non-coding RNA. RefSeq lists it as uncharacterized. Lineage: Eukaryota; Metazoa; Chordata; Mammalia; Primates; Cercopithecidae. The record is from RefSeq and is a predicted model, not a curated record. The transcript is spliced from 3 exons.
CCCAGGUGGCCGCCGCAGCCGCUCCCGAGACGCUGCUGUCACCCCGGCCGCGCCCCCCAACUUUCUGCACAGUCGCGGAGCUGGAAGUUUCCGGGCUUCGCGGACGCUGGGCUGGGUUUCAGCCGCGGCUCUGAGACAACUUCUCAGACAUGAUCCUCUCUGAGGUUGGUCCUGGGCUUCCACAUAUGAUUCAUGGAAGAGGCCUCAGCCCCAAGAGCCCCUGAAGGCCUAGGACGGUCAGCCUCGCAUGCUCCACAGCAGAGUGACUGAAGAUCUAUCGAGGUGUGGCACCAGCGUGUUGACCUUUCAAGAGAAUCUGCAGCCUCCCUGGUUUUUCACAAAAGCUCCUAUGCAGGGCCUGGCCCUUUCCUGGGGAGGGAAGCCUGGCUGUGCCUCCCCCUGCAUCCUCACCGGGAACUCCAUUCCUGAGCUGCGACCGCUGUUUUUCAGAUUGGAAAAUGCCUUGGGAACGGCUCAUCUUCCUGCAGCUUAAGCCCAUUUGUUUUCUGACUGGUGGCCGCUGAUGAAUACAGUGUGUCACAAAGGGAACUGUCACCUUAGUUCUGUCAUACACCAUCAAUAACUCGUCCAGGGCUGACUUUGUGGGCGUUGUGGCUUGCCCCGUGGUAGAGGGUCUGUGUGCAGCAGGGCCCCACACUCAAUGUUUGGCUGUCCCCGAUCUUAAAAUUCUCAGUCAUUCUUGAACAAGGGAACCCAUAUUUUCAUUUUGUUCUAGGCUCUGAGAGUUACAUAACUGAUCCUGAUUUUGGCUGUUGGUCAACAGUGUCAUAAGGUAAAAUAAGGUAAAAAUCUAUGAGUUUUAUAUUUCUUUUCCUUUUUUUUUUUUUUUUUUUUAA